RNAcentral lists this ribosomal RNA (1526 nucleotides) under uncultured prokaryote. RNAcentral describes it as "partial 16S ribosomal RNA". It matches the Rfam family "Bacterial small subunit ribosomal RNA". The record is from RNAcentral.
AGAGUUUGAUCCUGGCUCAGAGCGAACGUUAGCGGGAGGCUUAACACAUGCAAGUCGAGCGAGAACAGGGACUUCGGUCCCUUAGUAAAGCGGCGGACGGGUGAGUAACACGUGGAUAAUCUGCCCUUUGGCGGGGGACAACAAUUCGAAAGGAUUGCUAAUACCGCAUAAGUCUAGUGAGCCUCAGGGUUCAUUAGGGAAAGAUGGCCUCUUCUUGAAAGCCGUCACCGAAGGAUGAGUCCGCGUAGCAUCAGCUUGUUGGUGGGGUAAUGGCCUACCAAGGCAAAGACGCUUAGCUGGUCUGAGAGGAUGAUCAGCCACACUGGGACUGAGAUACGGCCCAGACUCCUACGGGAGGCAGCAGUGGGGAAUAUUGGACAAUGGGCGCAAGCCUGAUCCAGCCAUCCCGCGUGAGUGAUGAAGGCUUUCGGGUUGUAAAGCACUUUCAGUUGUGAGGAAAGGGUUGUAGUUAAUAACUGCAGUCUGUGACGUUAACAACAGAAGAAGCACCGGCUAACUUCGUGCCAGCAGCCGCGGUAAUACGAGGGGUGCAAUCGUUAAUCGGAAUUACUAGGCGUAAAGCGUUCGUAGGCGGUUUGUUAAGCAAGAUGUGAAAGGCCACCCGGGCUCAACCUGGGAACUGCAUUUUGAACUGGCAAGCUAGAGUACUGUAGAGGGUGGUGGAAUUUCCAGUGUAGCGGUGAAAUGCGUAGAGAUUGGAAGGAACAUCAGUGGCGAAGGCGGCCACCUGGACAGAUACUGACGCUGAGGAACGAAAGCGUGGGGAGAGCAACAGGAUUAGAUACCCUGGUAGUCCACGCCGUAAACGAUGUCAACUAGCCGUUUGUGGACUUGAUCCGUGAGUGGCGCAGCUAACGCACUAAGUUGACCGCCUGGGGAGUACGGCCGCAAGGUUAAAACUCAGAUGAAUGAAUUGACGGGGGCCCGCACAAGCGGUGGAGCAUGUGGUUUAAUUCGACGCAACGCGAAGAACCUUACCUACUCUUGACAUCCAGAGAACUCGCUAGAGAUAGCUUGGUGCCUUCGGGAACUCUGUGACAGGUGCUGCAUGGCUGUCGUCAGCUCGUGUUGUGAAAUGUUGGGUUAAGUCCCGUAACGAGCGCAACCCUUGUCCUUAUUUGCCAGCACGUAAUGGUGGGAACUCUAAGGAGACUGCCGGUGACAAACCGGAGGAAGGCGGGGACGACGUCAAGUCAUCAUGGCCCUUACGAGUAGGGCUACACACGUGCUACAAUGGCCAGUACAGAGGGCUGCAAACCUGCGAAGGUAAGCUAAUCUCAGAAAGCUGGUCGUAGUCCGGAUUGGAGUCUGCAACUCGACUCCAUGAAGUCGGAAUCGCUAGUAAUCGCGAAUCAGAAUGUCGCGGUGAAUACGUUCCCGGGCCUUGUACACACCGCCCGUCACACCAUGGGAGUGGAUUGCACCAGAAGUAGCUAGCUUAACCUUCGGGAUGGCGGUUACCACGGUGUGGUUCAUGACUGGGGUGAAGUCGAAACAAGGUAGCC